GAUUGGUAUUAAUUUUUUUGUAAAUGGUUGGUAUAAUUUAUUAGGUAUAUUAUUUGGUUUUGGAUUUUUUUAUUUUGGGGAGAUUUUUGAUUAUUAAUUUUAUUUUUUUAUUAGUUUAUAAAAAUUAAAAUUUGAAGGGUCUAAGCGACUCAAAUUGAGUAUUGGGAUCAAGUUGACUAUUCAUUUGAAUUUGAAGGGAUUUUUUUAUCUUAAUAUUUGUUCGGAAAUGAG
Molecule: unclassified non-coding RNA, 231 nt
Filed under: Hevea brasiliensis (rubber tree)
Lineage: Eukaryota; Viridiplantae; Streptophyta; Magnoliopsida; Malpighiales; Euphorbiaceae
Source: RNAcentral